Molecule: ribosomal RNA, 253 nt
Filed under: uncultured bacterium
Lineage: Bacteria
Description: partial 16S ribosomal RNA
Rfam family: Bacterial small subunit ribosomal RNA
Source: RNAcentral
UACGUAGGGAGCAAGCGUUGUCCGGAAUCAUUGGGCGUAAAGCGCGCGUAGGUGGCCCCAUAAGUCCGCUGUGAAAGUCAAAGGCUCAACCUUUGAAAGCCGGUGGAUACUGUGGGACUAGAGUACGGAAGAGGCAAGUGGAAUUCCUGGUGUAGCGGUGGAAUGCGCAGAUAUCAGGAGGAACACCAAUAGCGAAGGCAGCUCGCUGGGACGUUACUGACACUGAGGCGCGAAAGCGUGGGGAGCGAACAGG